AUUGAACGCUGGCGGCAGGCCUAACACAUGCAAGUCGAGCGGAUGAAGGGAGCUUGCUCCUGGAUUCAGCGGCGAACGGGUGAGUAAUGCCUAGGAAUCUGCCUGGUAGUGGGGGAUAACGUCCGGAAACGGGCGCUAAUACCGCAUACGUCCUGAGGGAGAAAGUGGGGGAUCUUCGGACCUCACGCUAUCAGAUGAGCCUAGGUCGGAUUAGCUAGUUGGUGGGGUAAAGGCCUACCAAGGCGACGAUCCGUAACUGGUCUGAGAGGAUGAUCAGUCACACUGGAACUGAGACACGGUCCAGACUCCUACGGGAGGCAGCAGUGGGGAAUAUUGGACAAAGGGCGAAAGCCUGAUCCAGCCAUGCCGCGUGUGUGAAGAAGGUCUUCGGAUUGUAAAGCACUUUAAGUUGGGAGGAAGGGCAGUAAGUUAAUACCUUGCUGUUUUGACGUUACCAACAGAAUAAGCACCGGCUAACUUCGUG
Molecule: ribosomal RNA, 484 nt
Filed under: uncultured bacterium
Lineage: Bacteria
Description: partial 16S ribosomal RNA
Rfam family: Bacterial small subunit ribosomal RNA
Source: RNAcentral